ACCUUCGGGAUCGGGAUAGCUGCUGGAAACGGCAGGUAAUACCGGAUGGUCAGGUCGGGAGGCAUCUCUUGACUUGUAAAUGGUUGGGCAACCUUCUGCCCGAAGAGCGGCCUAUGUCCUAUUAGCUUGUUGGUGAGGUAACGGCUCACCAAGGCUGCGAUGGGUAGCCGGACUGAGAGGUUGGCCGGUCACACUGGGACUGAGACACUGCCCAGACUCCUACGGGAGGCUGCAGUCGAGAAUCUUCCGCAAUGGACGCAAGUCUGACGGGGCGACGCCGCGUGGGGGAUGAAGGCUUUCGGGUUGUAAACCCCUGUUGCACGCUAGGAAUAUCUGUGGGUUAAUAGCCUUGCAGGUUGACCAUCGUGUGAGGAAGCACAGGCUAACUCCGUGCCAGCAGCCGCGGUAAUACGGAGUGUGCAAGCGUUACUCGGAAUCACUGGGCAUAAAGAGCACGUAGGCGGGCCGCUUAGUCGGUGGUGAAAGCCCUCAGCUCAACUGAGGAAUUGCUACCGAAACUGGUGGCCUUGAGGACAAGAGGGGAGAGUGGAACUUCUGGUGGAGCGGUGAAAUGCGUAGAUAUCAGAAGGAACACCGGUGGCGAAAGCGACUCUCUGGCUUGUUUCUGACGCUGAGGUGCGAAAGCGUGGGUAGCAAACAGGAUUAGAUACCCUGGUAGUCCACGCCGUAAACGAUGGGCACUAAGCAGGGGAGGUUCCGAUGCCUUCCUUGCUGGAGCUAAUGUAUUAAGUGCCCCGCCUGGGGAGUACAGUCGCAAGGCCGAAACUCAAAGGAAUUGACGGGGGCUCACACAAGCGGUGGAGCAUGUGGUUUAAUUCGAAUCAACGCGCAAAACCUUACCUGGGUUUGACAUGCACGGAUUAGCCCCUAGAAACAGGGGUGACGCCCGCAAGGGUGGAACGUGCACAGGUGCUGCAUGGCUGUCGUCAGCUCGUGUCGUGAGAUGUCGGGUUAAGUCCCUUAACGAGCGAAACCCUCCGUUAGUUGCCAGCGGAUAAUGCCGGGGACUCUAGCGGGACUGCCGUGGUCAACACGGAGGAAGGCGGGGAUGACGUCAAGUCCUCAUGGCCUUUAUGCCCAGGGCUACACACGUGCUACAAUGGGCGGUACAAAGGGCUGCGAACCCGCGAGGGGGAGCUAAUCCCAAAAAACCGUUCUCAGUUCGGAUUGGAGUCUGCAACCCGACUCCAUGAAGGCGGAAUCGCUAGUAAUCGUGCAUCAGCAUGGUAC
RNAcentral lists this ribosomal RNA (1251 nucleotides) under metagenome. RNAcentral describes it as "bacterial SSU rRNA". It matches the Rfam family "Bacterial small subunit ribosomal RNA", at positions 128 to 1360 of the family's 1533-position model. The record is from RNAcentral.